CUCAAGGUUUUUCUAAAAACCAUAAAAAGCAGUCAUACAUGCGAAA
Picea glauca (white spruce) is the source of this 46-nucleotide non-coding RNA. The record is from Rfam. Lineage: Eukaryota; Viridiplantae; Streptophyta; Pinopsida; Pinales; Pinaceae.